This 718-nucleotide ribosomal RNA is filed under the name uncultured bacterium. RNAcentral describes it as "bacterial SSU rRNA". It matches the Rfam family "Bacterial small subunit ribosomal RNA", at positions 122 to 816 of the family's 1533-position model. The record is from RNAcentral.
CAACCUGCCUUCAGGAUGGGGACAACAGACGGAAACGACUGCUAAUACCGAAUAAGUUCCAAGAGCCGCAUGGCCCAUGGAAGAAAAGGUGGCCUCUACCUGUAAGCUAUCGCCUGAAGAGGGGUUUGCGUCUGAUUAGCUGGUUGGAGGGGUAACGGCCCACCAAGGCGACGAUCAGUAGCCGGUCUGAGAGGAUGAACGGCCACACUGGAACUGAGACACGGUCCAGACUCCUACGGGAGGCAGCAGUGGGGAAUCUUCCGCAAUGGGCGAAAGCCUGACGGAGCAACGCCGCGUGAGUGAUGACGGCCUUCGGGUUGUAAAACUCUGUGAUCCGGGACGAAAAGGCAGAGUGCGAAGAACAAACUGCAUUGACGGUACCGGAAAAGCAAGCCACGGCUAACUACGUGCCAGCAGCCGCGGUAAUACGUAGGUGGCAAGCGUUGUCCGGAAUUAUUGGGCGUAAAGCGCGCGCAGGCGGCUUCCCAAGUCCCUCUUAAAAGUGCGGGGCUUAACCCCGUGAUGGGAAGGAAACUGGGAAGCUGGAGUAUCGGAGAGGAAAGUGGAAUUCCUAGUGUAGCGGUGAAAUGCGUAGAGAUUAGGAAGAACACCGGUGGCGAAGGCGACUUUCUGGACGAAAACUGACGCUGAGGCGCGAAAGCGUGGGGAGCAAACAGGAUUAGAUACCCUGGUAGUCCACGCCGUAAACGAUGGAUAC